GGAGAAGUUCCUGAUUUUAAAAUUUCUGAAGGGAGCUGCUGACAGAGAUAUAGAAAACACAGAUUGUUUAUGUUGCUAGAUUCUUCCAUGCUGAUGGCCGUGCACUAGAGUUGGAGCGUAUCUCCUGUCGAAGAAAAUAUCUAGACAUUAUGAACCAUAUGACUAAGUUUAGCUCCAACCCCAAUUAAGCAGACCUGAGCAGCUGAUCAAGGAUCACCAGAAACUUUGCAGAACGUUGGUCCUCCAUGCCCAGGACUGGACACCAGUGUUCUAAAUAAAACCAAAGGCCAUUCAGCCACAGGUCACUGCAUCUUUUGCUGUGUAAGUUCAUUUUUUUGAAUGUCAAACACGUUCUCAGUAUUUAUAUUUGGUUUGGUUUUUACAACCGUUUUAGAGUCACCGAUCCUAAAGUGACGUGACAU
This is a long non-coding RNA of Sinocyclocheilus anshuiensis, 422 nucleotides long. RefSeq lists it as uncharacterized. The transcript is spliced from 4 exons. The record is from RefSeq and is a predicted model, not a curated record. Lineage: Eukaryota; Metazoa; Chordata; Actinopteri; Cypriniformes; Cyprinidae.